UAAAACGUCGUGAGACAGUUUGGUCCCUAUCUGCCGUGGGCGCUGGAAAUUUGAAGGGGGCUGCUCCUAGUACGAGAGGACCGGAGUGGACGAACCUCUGGUGUACCGGUUAUGACGCCAGUCGUAUUGCCGGGUAGCUAAGUUCGGAAGAGAUAAACGCUGAAAGCAUCUAAGCGUGAAACUCGCCUUAAGAUGAGAUUUCCCCGGGGACUUGAUCCCCCUGAAGGGUCGUGGUAGACCACCACGUUGAUAGGCUGGAUGUGGAAGCGCAGCAAUGCGUUAAGCUAACCAGUACUAAUUGCCCGUGCGGCUUGAUCCU
RNAcentral lists this ribosomal RNA (319 nucleotides) under Accumulibacter sp. RNAcentral describes it as "partial 23S ribosomal RNA". It matches the Rfam family "Bacterial large subunit ribosomal RNA", at positions 2612 to 2925 of the family's 2925-position model. Lineage: Bacteria; Pseudomonadati; Pseudomonadota; Betaproteobacteria. The record is from RNAcentral.